This is a non-coding RNA of Triticum aestivum (bread wheat), 131 nucleotides long. Lineage: Eukaryota; Viridiplantae; Streptophyta; Magnoliopsida; Poales; Poaceae. The record is from Rfam.
AAUAUACUCCCUCCGUCCGAAAAAGCUUGUUCCUCAAAUGGAAUGGAUGUAUCUAGCAUCAAGUUAGUGCUAGAUACAUCUGUUUGAGGAACAAGCUUGGGACAAGCUUUUUCGGACAGAGGGAGUACGUG